RNAcentral lists this ribosomal RNA (431 nucleotides) under Artema atlanta. RNAcentral's name for it is "partial 16S ribosomal RNA". It matches the Rfam family "Archaeal large subunit ribosomal RNA", at positions 1890 to 2642 of the family's 2987-position model. Lineage: Eukaryota; Metazoa; Arthropoda; Arachnida; Araneae; Pholcidae. The record is from RNAcentral.
ACCUGUUUAAUCAAAAACAUCUCUUUAAGAACUAACUUAAAGUAAGACCUGCUCAAUUCCAUUAUAGUAAAUAGCCGCAGUUUCACUGUGCUAAGGUAGCAUAAUAAUUAGCCCUCUAAUUAAGGGAUAGAAUGAAUGGUUAGACGAGGUUACGACUAUCUAACUUAAAACAAGAUAAACUAACACAUCAGUAAAAAUACUGAUAUUACAAAGCAGGACGACAAGACCCUGCUAGAACUCACCAUUUAGCUGGGGCGGCUCAACCAAAAAAACCUUGAUAAACAAUUACAAACAAAAACCUAAUAAAAUUAAUAUUAGUUACCUCAGGGAUAACAGCGCAAUUUCCUUCAAAAGCUCCAAUUAAAAAGGAAGAUUACGACCUCGAUGUUGAAUUAAUAACCUAAUCUUAGCGCAAAAGCAGAUAUAAGGUG